CUUCACUUUUCUAAGAGCUGGAGCUGGACCACAAUCCUGCAUCUAUUUGCUGUGUGUUGUUUUGGAGCACAGGCCUUGAUUAUUAACAUCCUAGAUUAUCUAAAUUACUUAAUAGUUAGCAGCAUGUAAUAGCUUUUAAAAAAGAAAUGGGGGGCAGCUGUGCGUUGUUUUUUAAUUUGCAUUUAUCAAAACAGCCCUGGCAAAAUAGUCAGUAUUUGAAAAUCUAAACUUCAGGCAGUUUUCCUAACUGUCAAGGGGCCCACUUGAGAAGUCCUGAGCCAAUGGCAAGCCUCGGGAUUCAAGCACAAAGGCCCCAAAUCUACUACCUGUUUCACAGCUUAAUGAGCCACUCCACAGGCAAACAUUCAGGAAACAUGAGCAAGGAAUGGGAAAUAUGAGGAAAGAGCAGUUUAGGUAUCUUUCCAAGGUAUUCUAUUCAAUUCCAAAAUGAAAUAAUGAAACGAAAAUAUUUGAGUAUACAUUAUUGAACCAAGGUUCAGACAGGAAGAAAUGCAAGUCAUUAAAUUCCUAUUUGUAAAGUAACAAGGAAACCGAAUGAUCACUAAGAUCCCUUUCAUCUGCAAAAUAUUCUGAUUGAAAUUAGAGGAAAAUUGCCUUUCUGUUUUCUUUUCUCUGAGAUCAGAGAAUCAAUGUUCAACAUACCCCACAGUGUUCUGAAAUCUCAAUCUUCCUUUUGUUACCGCAAAUUUAUUCAUUCAAUCAUCAAAGAGCUGUUGAGUAACGCUAUGUGCACUGGCUUAAAUAGCUUUGGGGCUGGGUUUGAAAUGGAAGGAAAGCUGACAUCCUUGCUUUAUACUCUCCCUUCAGCAGUCAGCCCUUUAAAAUCCCCGGAUGUGGAGCAGGCCAGAGGCCGAGUAGUUGGGUUCACACGCUCUGCUUCCGCUUCUGCGGCCCAGGGUUUCGCCGGUUCAGAUCCUGGGCACAGACAUGGCACCACUCAUCAGGCCAUUCUCAGGCGGCAUCCCACAUAGCAGAACCAGGAGGACCUACAGGUGGUCAUAAGAAGGGGACCGGCAAGGAGGUCAGCCUUGCAGACUCAGCUGAUCAACUGCAGGAGGCAUUGGCCUUCCCCUUCUCAAAUCUGACGUCUGAGACUCCAAAACUGAAGCCCCGCCUUUUCCCCGGUGUCACAGGCCUGCGUAUCAAUCUCUCUUCCUGAGAAAUGGCUAAGGAAAUAAAAUAGCACAGAAGCCUCUGUGUUCUCCUAGUUAGCUGGCCACUGCAGAAGGCCAGAGGCCAAGGGUUGCUGGUGGAAGUGCAUUUGUGCAGGACUCAUCGAUCAUCCUAGGAGCUCUGCGGAGUCAUCCCUGUGGGUGUCAGGGGAGUGGGAGAUUCUCACGAGACCUAUGCAUGGGGACAAGCGAGUUAGGGAUUGGUGGGCACCCUCAGGACACCCUGCUGCCCAACACGUUACAUAUGCCCCACAGCAUGGAUUUCCCAUAUUCCAGUCUCACCAAGAGCACACCGUCAGGUUACCAGGAUCCUGGGUGACUGCUGGCAAGCUCUGGUCCUCUAUGGGUCUGUGAGCUUUUCUGAAAGGAGAGGGUGGGAUUAGAUGAUAUCAAAGGACCAAUCUAGCCCUAAAAUGUCCCUUAAAAAAACUGAAAGUGGGGCCAGCGCAGUAGCCUAGUGGUUAAGUUCACACACUUCUCUUCAGUAGCCCGGGGUUCACAGGUUCCCACCCUGCGCACAGACUUACACGCUGCUCAUCAAGCCAUGCUGUGGCAGCAUCCCACACACAAAAUAGAGGAAGAUGGGCCCAGAUCUUAGCUCAGGGCCAGUCUUCCUCAUCAAAAAAAAAAAAAAAAAGUGAAAGUAUACAACUAAGCAAACUAAGGUCGCCCCUUAGUCUUCAAAAUCAAAUGCUUCCCAAGAUGCAGAUUUGCAAACACAUCCACCUUCCUACCUCCUUGCCUGAAAAAUUGCAGAAGACACAUAAAAUUUGCUUGGCUACUACCUACAUUUUAAGGGUCACUCCAUCCCUAUGGUUGAAUUUUUCAGAUCUCCUACUAUAGUCCUAGUAAAAAUGGAAUCUAAAGUAAAACUAAAUAAAUACAUAAGCAAUGGCAGGGAGGCCCAGUGUGGACAGAAUGGCUUGCUUAGCCACUGCCUGAGCCUCAUAGCUCCUGCCUUAUUUGGGUCAUUUUGGUUUGUGUGUAGAAAUGUCCUCUUUUAAAGGAAACCCUACCGUGCAUUCACUCAAAACUCCAUCUAACCUUGAAUUCAAAGCAAUGUUUCCAAGCUUCAAACACAUGAAGUGCUCUUCUGCAGGCAGCCUGGCCUUCAGGCCUAACUGUCAAGUUUUUGUUUACAUUCCUUCUAGGAAUGGCCUUUUACUAAGCUCCCACUUGAGCACAAGCU
Molecule: long non-coding RNA, 2382 nt
Filed under: Equus caballus (horse)
Lineage: Eukaryota; Metazoa; Chordata; Mammalia; Perissodactyla; Equidae
Description: lncRNA (ENSECAG00000052686.1)
Source: RNAcentral